AGUUCCAAUGAUCACCAAAAUCAUCCAACACCUGUAUAUAGUGGGCACCUACAUUGUAUUAAAAUAUAAUGAUUCUGAGAAAAAGCAUAUCCAAACAGUUCACCAAAACAAAAAACUGGAUUUUUUCACAUUUGUUCUGUUUCCAUGGAAACGGUAGCCAUCUUGAACCAUUCCAUGCUUCCUGCAACUCUGCACAUGGGG
This 201-nucleotide long non-coding RNA is filed under the name Mytilus galloprovincialis (Mediterranean mussel). Lineage: Eukaryota; Metazoa; Mollusca; Bivalvia; Mytilida; Mytilidae. The record is from RNAcentral.